Molecule: ribosomal RNA, 253 nt
Filed under: uncultured bacterium
Lineage: Bacteria
Description: partial 16S ribosomal RNA
Rfam family: Bacterial small subunit ribosomal RNA
Source: RNAcentral
UACGGGGGGGGCAAGCGUUGUUCGGAAUUACUGGGCGUAAAGGGCUCGUAGGUGGCCAACUAAGUCGGACGUGAAAUCCCUCAGCUUAACUGGGGAACUGCGUCCGAUACUGGAUGGCUCGAGUUUGGGAGAGGGAUGCGGAAUUCCAGGUGUAGCGGUGGAAUGCGCAGAUAUCAGGAGGAACACCGGUGGCGAAGGCGGGUCUCUGGGCAGUAACUGACGCUGAGGAGCGAAAGCGUGGGGAGCGAACAGG